GAUGAACGCUGGCGGCGUGCCUAAUACAUGCAAGUCGAGCGAACGGACGAGAAGCUUGCUUCUCUGAUGUUAGCGGCGGACGGGUGAGUAACACGUGGAUAACCUACCUAUAAGACUGGGAUAACUUCGGGAAACCGGAGCUAAUACCGGAUAAUAUUUUGAACCGCAUGGUUCAAAAGUGAAAGACGGUCUUGCUGUCACUUAUAGAUGGAUCCGCGCCGCAUUAGCUAGUUGGUAAGGUAACGGCUUACCAAGGCAACGAUGCAUAGCCGACCUGAGAGGGUGAUCGGCCACACUGGAACUGAGACACGGUCCAGACUCCUACGGGAGGCAGCAGUAGGGAAUCUUCCGCAAUGGGCGAAAGCCUGACGGAGCAACGCCGCGUGAGUGAUGAAGGUCUUCGGAUCGUAAAACUCUGUUAUUAGGGAAGAACAUAUGUGUAAGUAACUGCGCACAUCUUGACGGUACCUAAUCAGAAAGCCACGGCUAACUACGUG
RNAcentral lists this ribosomal RNA (497 nucleotides) under uncultured bacterium. RNAcentral's name for it is "partial 16S ribosomal RNA". It matches the Rfam family "Bacterial small subunit ribosomal RNA", at positions 28 to 507 of the family's 1533-position model. The record is from RNAcentral.